GACGAACGCUGGCGGCGUGCCUAAUACAUGCAAGUAGAACGCUGAAGAGAGGAGCUUGCUCUUCUUGGAUGAGUUGCGAACGGGUGAGUAACGCGUAGGUAACCUGCCUGGUAGCGGGGGAUAACUAUUGGAAACGAUAGCUAAUACCGCAUGAUAUUAAUUGUCGCAUGAUAAUUAAUUGAAAGAUGCAAUUGCAUCACUACCAGAUGGACCUGCGUUGUAUUAGCUAGUUGGUGAGGUAACGGCUCACCAAGGCGACGAUACAUAGCCGACCUGAGAGGGUGAUCGGCCACACUGGGACUGAGACACGGCCCAGACUCCUACGGGAGGCAGCAGUAGGGAAUCUUCGGCAAUGGGGGGAACCCUGACCGAGCAACGCCGCGUGAGUGAAGAAGGUUUUCGGAUCGUAAAGCUCUGUUGUAAGAGAAGAACGGGUGUGAGAGUGGAAAGUUCACACUGUGACGGUAUCUUACCAGAAAGGCGGCU
RNAcentral lists this ribosomal RNA (486 nucleotides) under Streptococcus sanguinis. RNAcentral describes it as "bacterial SSU rRNA". It matches the Rfam family "Bacterial small subunit ribosomal RNA", at positions 28 to 498 of the family's 1533-position model. The record is from RNAcentral. Lineage: Bacteria; Bacillati; Bacillota; Bacilli; Lactobacillales; Streptococcaceae.